This 75-nucleotide transfer RNA is filed under the name Anaerolineae bacterium. Its description in RNAcentral is "tRNA-Lys". It matches the Rfam family "tRNA". Rfam says of the family: Transfer RNA (tRNA) molecules are approximately 80 nucleotides in length. Their secondary structure includes four short double-helical elements and three loops (D, anti-codon, and T loops). The record is from RNAcentral. Lineage: Bacteria; Bacillati; Chloroflexota; Anaerolineae.
GGGUCCGUAGCUCAAUGGCAGAGCAAGCGCCUCUUAAGCGUUAGGUUCUCGGUUCGACCCCGAGCGGACUCACAA